GGCGAUCCCACCGCAUGCCCCAAGACCGGGCACGGCAACAAUCCGAUCACAUCCGGCUCGCCCGACGU
RNAcentral lists this small RNA (68 nucleotides) under Stutzerimonas nitrititolerans. Its description in RNAcentral is "Pseudomonas sRNA P10". It matches the Rfam family "Pseudomonas sRNA P10". Lineage: Bacteria; Pseudomonadati; Pseudomonadota; Gammaproteobacteria; Pseudomonadales; Pseudomonadaceae. The record is from RNAcentral.